AUUGAACGCUGGCGGCAUGCCUAACACAUGCAAGUCGAACGAGUAGCGGACGGGUGAGCAAUUUCUGGGAACCUGCCUGACCUACGGGGAUAACUACUGGAAACAUUAGCUAAAACCGCAUACAACCGGAUGUGCCCAGGUGGGAUUAGCUAGUAGGUGGGGUAACGGCUCACAUAGGCGACGAUCCCUAGCUCGUUUGAGAGGCUGACCGGCCACACUGGAACUGAGACACGGUCCAGACUCCUACGGGAGGCAGCAGUGGGGAAUAUUGGACAAUGGACGCAAGCCUGAUGCAGCCAUGCCGCGUGUAUGAAGAAGGCCUUCGGGUUGUAAAGUACUUUCAGCGAGGAGGCGUUACUCGCAGAAGAAGCACCGGCUAACUCCGUGCCAGCAGCCGCGGUAAUUC
Molecule: ribosomal RNA, 406 nt
Filed under: uncultured bacterium
Lineage: Bacteria
Description: partial 16S ribosomal RNA
Rfam family: Bacterial small subunit ribosomal RNA
Source: RNAcentral